This 1545-nucleotide ribosomal RNA is filed under the name Salmonella enterica subsp. enterica serovar Dessau. Its description in RNAcentral is "bacterial SSU rRNA". It matches the Rfam family "Bacterial small subunit ribosomal RNA". The record is from RNAcentral. Lineage: Bacteria; Pseudomonadati; Pseudomonadota; Gammaproteobacteria; Enterobacterales; Enterobacteriaceae.
AAAUUGAAGAGUUUGAUCAUGGCUCAGAUUGAACGCUGGCGGCAGGCCUAACACAUGCAAGUCGAACGGUAACAGGAAGCAGCUUGCUGCUUUGCUGACGAGUGGCGGACGGGUGAGUAAUGUCUGGGAAACUGCCUGAUGGAGGGGGAUAACUACUGGAAACGGUGGCUAAUACCGCAUAACGUCGCAAGACCAAAGAGGGGGACCUUCGGGCCUCUUGCCAUCAGAUGUGCCCAGAUGGGAUUAGCUUGUUGGUGAGGUAACGGCUCACCAAGGCGACGAUCCCUAGCUGGUCUGAGAGGAUGACCAGCCACACUGGAACUGAGACACGGUCCAGACUCCUACGGGAGGCAGCAGUGGGGAAUAUUGCACAAUGGGCGCAAGCCUGAUGCAGCCAUGCCGCGUGUAUGAAGAAGGCCUUCGGGUUGUAAAGUACUUUCAGCGGGGAGGAAGGUGUUGUGGUUAAUAACCACAGCAAUUGACGUUACCCGCAGAAGAAGCACCGGCUAACUCCGUGCCAGCAGCCGCGGUAAUACGGAGGGUGCAAGCGUUAAUCGGAAUUACUGGGCGUAAAGCGCACGCAGGCGGUCUGUCAAGUCGGAUGUGAAAUCCCCGGGCUCAACCUGGGAACUGCAUUCGAAACUGGCAGGCUUGAGUCUUGUAGAGGGGGGUAGAAUUCCAGGUGUAGCGGUGAAAUGCGUAGAGAUCUGGAGGAAUACCGGUGGCGAAGGCGGCCCCCUGGACAAAGACUGACGCUCAGGUGCGAAAGCGUGGGGAGCAAACAGGAUUAGAUACCCUGGUAGUCCACGCCGUAAACGAUGUCUACUUGGAGGUUGUGCCCUUGAGGCGUGGCUUCCGGAGCUAACGCGUUAAGUAGACCGCCUGGGGAGUACGGCCGCAAGGUUAAAACUCAAAUGAAUUGACGGGGGCCCGCACAAGCGGUGGAGCAUGUGGUUUAAUUCGAUGCAACGCGAAGAACCUUACCUGGUCUUGACAUCCACGGAAGAAUUCAGAGAUGGAUUUGUGCCUUCGGGAACCGUGAGACAGGUGCUGCAUGGCUGUCGUCAGCUCGUGUUGUGAAAUGUUGGGUUAAGUCCCGCAACGAGCGCAACCCUUAUCCUUUGUUGCCAGCGGUUAGGCCGGGAACUCAAAGGAGACUGCCAGUGAUAAACUGGAGGAAGGUGGGGAUGACGUCAAGUCAUCAUGGCCCUUACGACCAGGGCUACACACGUGCUACAAUGGCGCAUACAAAGAGAAGCGACCUCGCGAGAGCAAGCGGACCUCAUAAAGUGCGUCGUAGUCCGGAUUGGAGUCUGCAACUCGACUCCAUGAAGUCGGAAUCGCUAGUAAUCGUGGAUCAGAAUGCCACGGUGAAUACGUUCCCGGGCCUUGUACACACCGCCCGUCACACCAUGGGAGUGGGUUGCAAAAGAAGUAGGUAGCUUAACCUUCGGGAGGGCGCUUACCACUUUGUGAUUCAUGACUGGGGUGAAGUCGUAACAAGGUAACCGUAGGGGAACCUGCGGUUGGAUCACCUCCUUACCU